UCUGCGGUCAGUGAGGAGCAGAGGGGUGAGCUGUGAUUAUACAGUGAACACAGAACAUCCAUCUCUCUCUCCACGCAGUGACCCAUACACCUUUACAGAAACAACAACAACAACAACAACAACAACAACAACAACGUAUCUAUCAUCAUCACAGCCAGGGUUAAGCCUUGUAGGAACAACAACAAUAACGGCAACAAUAGCAACACCAGCAACAGCAACAACAACAGCAACAGAAACAGCAACAACAACACCAACAGCAUCAACAACAACAUAUCUAUCAUCCUCAGGGCUAGUUUCAACCGUGACUAGUCCAAGGUCCACUCAUCCUGCAGAGGAUUCUUCAAAAUUUGGUCACAGGGCAUUUUUGACUGGGUCAGUGGUGGCGUCUGGAGGGGGCCUCUUCCUGGGGGUCCUCAUUGCCUCAUGUCUCUGCUUCAAGAGACAUAAACAUGCAAGACCUCAGCAUACUACCCACUAUAGAAGUGAUUCUGUCAGAUGUGGUCCAGAGGAUGGCAAUAUUGAUCUUGAUAGGGGGAAUGAUGAGCGUCUCCCUACCAUCUUAGACACCUCAGGUGGUGACGUGGAGAACAACUCUUGGCAGGAUGGGUCUGACCCAUGUCAUGUGUAUAGCUCCAUACCUGACACACCAGAUGUUUCCAACCAUCAGGACACCAGUUACAGGGAUCCAGAAAACACCCAGCAGGGCAUGACCUACCACCUUCUGCAGAAGAUCUAAUUACGCUGCUCUUACGGUCUUUAGACUACUGCUACAAUAAUGUACAUUUGCUGUUCAAAGACAUUUACAUUUAGUCAUUUAGCAGACGCUUUUAUCCAAAGCGACUUACAUACACAUGUUACAUUUACACUGAUGGCACACACUGCACAUCAGGAGCAAUUAGGGGUUCAGUGUCUUGCUCAAGGACGCUUCGACAGGGAAUCGAACUAGCAACCUUCUGAUUACUAACCGCCUUCUCUACCCCCUGUACCACUGUCACCCCAAAGACAAUGUGAAGCUGUGGCCUUCCAGCAGGACCAGUGUGAUGUACUCAGUGAAUGUGUGUUGCCUUGGCUGAAACAGCCUGCUUGAAUAAAAUGUCAAAUGCAUCUUAAUAGAGAGACUGUAAACAAUGAAUGUAGAAAAUAAAAAGUAUACUAUCCCUUGAGCCCUGCA
Molecule: long non-coding RNA, 1171 nt
Organism: Clupea harengus (Atlantic herring)
Lineage: Eukaryota; Metazoa; Chordata; Actinopteri; Clupeiformes; Clupeidae
Source: Ensembl